Small RNA from Treponema maltophilum ATCC 51939, 95 nucleotides. It matches the Rfam family "TD-2 RNA". Rfam says of the family: non coding RNA found in Treponema denticola NCBI's taxonomy places the organism in Bacteria, Pseudomonadati, Spirochaetota, Spirochaetia, Treponematales, Treponemataceae. The record is from Rfam.
UCCGGCAUGGACGCCGGAAACGCCAUACGUGCCCGAGUUUGCGGAGCAAACUCGAGUUAAAAAUCGGACUUAGGAUGUCCGAUUUUUAAACCUUC